Long non-coding RNA from Musca domestica (house fly), 842 nucleotides. RefSeq lists it as uncharacterized. The record is from RefSeq and is a predicted model, not a curated record. Lineage: Eukaryota; Metazoa; Arthropoda; Insecta; Diptera; Muscidae. The transcript is spliced from 3 exons.
AAUCUCCCCACCGUCCAAGUUAAAGCGUUUGAUAUGAGAUUACAGCAAGUGGAAACACAUGUUGGCGCUCGUGGAUGUGGGGCUGGCGGCAGUGUUGGUGGUGGUGUUGUCGGUGUUGGUGAUAAGAACCAAGAAAUGUUUGUUGCCUGCUGCGGUUGGCGCGCCGCGGCUCUACUGGCAUUGUCUUGUGCCUUGCAUUGACACUAACAUUUCCAUAUUUUGAAAUUGAUUCUCUUAGUAAUGAAGAGAACAAAGCAGGCCGACGACACUGUUGCCAUCGACACUUGAAACAAUUUGCCGUGACAGAGCGAAAGCCACGAAGAGAGUGAGAGGAAGUAAAGUAUCAUCACAAAGCUCUUAAAAUGUGGUUUUGUAGCCAAAAAAUGAUUUCUUUCUCAAUCCACAAAAAUAUUGAAUCGCAACAUCACCAACACUCUGAGUUGGUAACUAACUACACGGGAGGACGUGACAGAUUGUUUAUAAAAUAAAUUUUGUGGCGGUUGUGUGAUUUUGUUUAUAAAAAAGUGCAAUAUUUCGAAUCAAAUGCAAUACCUAUUCUACAAAAUUUAAGGGAACUUUUCCAACUACGGAUGACGGCUUAAAAUAUCUUAAAUCGGGAUGUGUACAAAAACUUGAAUUGAAACCAGAUCAAAUCCAAACAAAAUUUGCAGAAAAUUCCUGGUCCCCAAGGAUUUCAAAGCAGAUGACAGCGAAAUAAAAUUCCACAUGGAAAGUUGGCAAAUUGGAGCUUAAUGGAAGCCAAUCAUCCUCCACAAUCACGCCUCUUUAUUAUAUUAUAUUCUAAAAUACUUUAAAUAAUUACAAUUUGUUACAUAACAUUU